UCCAGCAGCCGCGGUAAUACGUUCCCGGGCCUUGUACACACCGCCCGUCACACCACGAGAGUUUGUAACACCCGAAGUCGGUGGGGUAACCGCAAGGGGCCAGCCGCCUAAGGUGGGACAGAUGAUUGGGGUGAAGUCGUAACAAGGUAGCCGUAUCGGAAGGUGCGGCUGGAUCACCUCCUUUCUAAGGAUAAUGCAGUCCUUGUGGACUGAUAAGAUGUUGACUGUUACUUGUUUGUUUAGUUUUGAGGGAGCAAUUCUCUCAAAGCUUUUUUUAAUCGUUCCUUGAAAACUAGAUAAUCGUAAGAAGAAGUCAAAGUAAAACCGAGAAUCGCCAUUUUAGUUUUUCUCUCUUAUUAAUUAAGAGUAUAACCAUUUAGGUUAAGUUAGGAAGGGCGCACGGUGGAUACCUAGGCACACAGAGAAUAGAGGCAAUC
This 437-nucleotide unclassified non-coding RNA is filed under the name uncultured organism. Its description in RNAcentral is "partial contains 16S-23S ribosomal RNA intergenic spacer and 23S ribosomal RNA". The stretch from base 1 to 184 matches the Rfam family "Bacterial small subunit ribosomal RNA", at positions 1348 to 1533 of the family's 1533-position model. The record is from RNAcentral.